GCGAUGCCUGUGGGCAAUCUUGGUUUUCCACACCUUGAGCACAUGCCGGCGGCCUCAGUGCUGGUAGUGAAACUGCUAGAGUCAGCAAACACAUUCCCUAUGGCCAAAGACAACAAGGGCAUGGCCCGUUUAUAGUUACAAAAGGUAAGUAACAUACAAAGAAAUGUUUGGAUGUAAACAAAGAGCACUCGUCGAAGCUUAUUUAGUGUUUUUUCUAAUAGAUAAGUUUCAAUAAGUCCAUAUCCAAAUGGGCUGAUAGUAAUAGAAAACCAUAUGCUUAGUCCAAUAUUGUUAUCAUACCCAAAGAUAAAUGCAUGAUGCAAUUACAAAUGUCCAAUAUCGGCCAAGAUGGGCAUCAGCUAUGUAAGCUCCUGCGAGUGGCAUUGUCCACACUACCCCAGCCCAGUUGCUAACGUUGUUUGAAGAUGUAACAGUACCCUGAUGGAGUUUCUUCCCUAGAUACACCACCAAGUUUGUUGAUAUGCCGUAGUAAGCCAUUCUCUCAAACAAUUCAUACCCUGUAAAUCACAUGUAACAUGUCCUCUACUCAUAAGCAAAAACAAUUCAUUUAAAGUAAGUUUCUAAUGCUAUUAAGGCCGUGAAAGGCUUUGUUUUAUACCUACUAUGAAGAAACAAGCUUUCCAUGAUCCAGUCUUUGAUCUUAAAACUGGCCCACCUUUGAGGUCCACAGUGCCAUCUUGAGUGUAAUCUUCCUUUCUGCUGCCAAGGCCUUUCUCUUCAUCUACCAAUGACAUGAUGCUGGACAAGAUCGCAUCGACUUUAAUUGGCUCUUGUCUUGUGUGGAGAAUCAUGCAAGGUUUCUAGCUUUUCUCGUGAGCUUUUAUAUGGUUAUGAGGUUGAAUCUGACUUUAGAAGCUUAUAUUUUCCAAACCUGAAGCUAUACAUUGGCCACUUGCAUGAGCCAACUAACAAAGAAAUCUGAAAGGCCAAAAACAAUAAAAGAAUCUGCCACGUUUUUUUAGUAUAAUUGCCUUUUUUAUGCGCAUAACUCUCCCUUAUAUUUGUUGAUUUUUUUUUCUUUAUCUAAUCAGGAGUAUAUUUUAUGAGAGGAAAUUCCGUAUAAAUCGUGAAUGCUCACAUAAUGGGGAGAUUUCUCCUAUCAGAGUUUUUUCAGGACACAUAUGUACGCAUGAACCAAUCAACAAUUUGUGGGGUGAUGUUUAAGUUUACAUUAUGUAAAAUAUUGAUUUCACAAUUAAAUUUUUUUAUACUACUUCUGCACUACGUUUAGCAUCAGCCAAACCGACCCUAAGCGCAUGACUUAUAAAAUUUAGUCUUUAGGUACUAUGUGUUUGUUUUAUACUUAUCAUUUUGAAGCUCCUUUUUUAUCAGCUUACAUUGAUCAGUUGUGUGACUACAACCUUUGUUCCAAUUUGGUUAUUAUUCUUUUCCAGGGAAUAUUUAUUUUAAGCACCGGACAUCAGGCCCAUUCAAUAAGUGAAAAUGGUAUUAAACUUCUUUUACCUGCAAUCUUAUGCCUCAAGAUUGAAAUUUUGUAUUGCAUUAAAAUCCCUUCUACUUGAGCAGUUUUAUGUGAUUUUGAGUUUAAGAAUAUUAAAUUCAAAGCUGUAUGCUCUUGAAGUAUGAUAGGGCUUUUAGUUUUAUAGUUGUUACUUGUUAGAGUUAGUAAUGAGCCGUAGAUUGAGACUAAUUAUUUAUGAUAAUUUGGGAAGGGAAAGGUUGAUGUUGUUCAUUGGAUUACGUGUUUAGGACUAAGAUGGGAACAUGAAGUGUGUCCAUGUCAUAGAACAGCUGUUCCCCUCUGAUCAUGUGAAAAGAUUUAAUUACAUAUUUUAUUAUUAUUAUAGGGAUUUAAUUAAAAUGUUUUAAAUUAUAAGGAUUUAAUCAUAAGUUGAAUCAAACUAUAGGGACCUACUGAUUAGGUUAACCUUGAAUUAACAUACUGUAAUGUUAUUUAUGAUACUGAGGGAUGCUAGCAAUUGGUUUUACCCUUUGUUAUUCAGUGAAAUGUAUUUGUGAUCUACUAAAUUAGGUGUUUCAUUCUUUAUUUGAUGGGUUUUAUUCUUCAUAUAAUGAACAUGAGUUCAUAAAAGUUUUAGAAGAGUGUAUAGAGUAAUGUUAAUAUUUAGGAUAUUUAUGUAAAAUCAAGUAGUUAUGUUUAUGAACUGACUUGGGUUUGUAUGUUUUCAUGUCAUGUCAGUCUUGGUGACCUAGCAUGGAAUAUCAAGGCAAUGUUGCUUGUAAGUUGAUUUUUUUUAGUUGUUACUUUUUGAAUUUACCGGAUCCUUAACUUUGGAGAUGAGAUGAGAUGCCUCCUACCUAAGUAAAUGUUAAAACUUAUUUAAUAUUUUUGUCCCGCUUCAAGAAGUGUGAGAAUUGACUCUAUGUUCUUGGUGGUUUGGCUUUUAGUAAUUGAAUUAUACAUAAAGGGCUGAUAGUUUAGAUUCAUAUGGUGAGCAUACAGUGGUUGAGGCGUAUCUAGAAUUACAUUAAAGCAUAGCUACAUAUAUUUGCUUGAUCUUGUAUGCAAUACAAGAUGGUGGAC
RNAcentral lists this long non-coding RNA (2527 nucleotides) under Lotus japonicus. RNAcentral describes it as "long non-coding RNA (LJAP_LNC001245)". The record is from RNAcentral. Lineage: Eukaryota; Viridiplantae; Streptophyta; Magnoliopsida; Fabales; Fabaceae.